AGGCACUCAACAAGAUUGUGCAGCCAACUCCCACAACUACAGAGACAGCUUUUCAUUUAAACAUCACACUUCUGUAAUAAACACUUACAAAGACAAACUAGAGCAAUGCCUAUGUAAGAACAAGGACUCUCAAGAUCCUGCUACACAGUAUUCACAAUCAAAAGGGCCCAAGAUUCAGGACCACCUAAAGACAACUGACAAAAAGUGUCAGAGCCAGAGGCCAACCUCUGCUAGAUGAAGCAGCAGCACAUGACUCCAUUUCUAUCUGAUAAGGAGACAGAGAAGAGGCAUCUCGAACAGAUGAAAAACCAAAGGCUGGUGUCCUAAAAAAAACAGAUUGGCUUCAAAGAAAACACUAAGGAAGACCCACAGAGCUGUAUUAAUUUUAGUAAAAAUAAUCAUAUGCCAACAGGGGAAUUG
This 420-nucleotide long non-coding RNA is filed under the name Homo sapiens (human). RNAcentral describes it as "HSALNT0052702". The record is from RNAcentral. Lineage: Eukaryota; Metazoa; Chordata; Mammalia; Primates; Hominidae.